Molecule: ribosomal RNA, 463 nt
Filed under: uncultured bacterium
Lineage: Bacteria
Description: partial 16S ribosomal RNA
Rfam family: Bacterial small subunit ribosomal RNA
Source: RNAcentral
GACGAACGCUGGCGGCGUGCUUAACACAUGCAAGUCGAACGGUGAACCUCUUCGGAGGGGAUCAGUGGCGAACGGGCGAGUAACACGUGGGCAACCUGCCCCCGGCUCUGGGAUAACUCCAAGAAUUUGGGGCUAAUAACGUAUGUUCACCGCUUCUUGCAAGGGUGGUGGUGCAAAGGGUAUGCGGCUGGGGCUGGGCCCGCGGCCAAUCAGCUUGUUGGUGGGGUCGAGGCCUACCAAGGAGACGACGGGUAGCCCGCCUUAGAGGGUGACCGGGCACCCGGGGCCUGAGGCACGGCCCAGUCGGCUACGGGACGCAGCAGGGGGGAGUAUUGCGCAAUAGGCGGAAGCCUGACGCAGCGACGCCGCGAGGGGGAAGACGGCCUUCGGGUUGUAAACCACUUUCAGCAGGGACGAAGCGGAAGUGACGGUACCUGCAGAAGAAGCACCGGCCAACUACGUG